AUUGUAAUAUAAAAAUCUUUUAAUAAUUAAUAUUAUUUUCAAAUUAUGAAAUAAUUUUCAGCUCAACUCCAAUUGAUCCAGGAUCUAUUUGGUGGCCGCCAAACCGUUUUAUUGUUUACUUCAAUAAGAUUCUGACAGGCAUGAGACCAGCAUGGCCUUCACAAAGUCGUGAUAAAUCCAAAAACCAAGACUUAGAUCGCUUCCUCUGGUAGCGACACUCUGCAUGCAUGAAGCAACACAACCACAAAUUGGCUCCGCAAGUUGCUUGACUAUCUCACUCCGCUAUCCAUCAUCGUCUUCAUGACCUAUGCUUCUUUC
This 318-nucleotide long non-coding RNA is filed under the name Phoenix dactylifera (date palm). RNAcentral describes it as "long non-coding RNA (PDAC_LNC015153)". The record is from RNAcentral. Lineage: Eukaryota; Viridiplantae; Streptophyta; Magnoliopsida; Arecales; Arecaceae.